CUACGGGCUGCAGCAGUGGGGAAUAUUGGACAAUGGGCGCAAGCCUGAUCCAGCAAUACCGCGUGUGUGAAGAAGGCCUGCGGGUUGUAAAGCACUUUCAAUUGUGAAGAAAAGCGAGGGCUUAAUACGCUCUUGUCUUGACGUUAACUUUAGAAGAAGCACCGGCUAAGUCUGUGCCAGCAGCCGCGGUAAUACAGAGGGUGCGAGCGUUAAUCGGAAUUACUGGGCGUAAAGCGUACGUAGGCGGUUUAGUAAGUCAGAUGUGAAAGCCCUGGGCUCAACCUGGGAACUGCAUUUGAAACUGCUAGACUAGAGUGUGGUAGAGGGAAGUGGAAUUCCGGGUGUAGCGGUGAAAUGCGUAGAUAUCCGGAGGAACACCAGUGGCGAAGGCGACUUCCUGGACCAACACUGACGCUGAGGUACGAAAGCGUGGGUAGCAAACAGGAUUAGAUACCCCUGUAGUC
This 464-nucleotide ribosomal RNA is filed under the name uncultured bacterium. Its description in RNAcentral is "partial 16S ribosomal RNA". It matches the Rfam family "Bacterial small subunit ribosomal RNA", at positions 339 to 795 of the family's 1533-position model. The record is from RNAcentral.